This 468-nucleotide ribosomal RNA is filed under the name uncultured bacterium. RNAcentral's name for it is "partial 16S ribosomal RNA". It matches the Rfam family "Bacterial small subunit ribosomal RNA", at positions 28 to 507 of the family's 1533-position model. The record is from RNAcentral.
GACGAACGCUGGCGGCGUGCUUAACACAUGCAAGUCGAACGGAAAGGCCCUGCUUUGGUGGGGUGCUCGAGUGGCGAACGGGUGAGUAACACGUGAGUAACCUGCCCUGGACUUUGGGAUAACUUCAGGAAACUGGGGCUAAUACCGGAUAGGAGCUCCUGCUGCAUGGUGGGGGGUGGAAAGUUUCGGCGGUUGGGGAUGGACUGGCGGGUUAUCAUGUUGUUGGUGGGGUGGUGGCUUACCAAGUCUUUGACGGGUAGCCGGCCUGGGAGGGUGACCGGCCACAUUGGGACUGAGAUACGGCCCAGACUCCUACGGGAGGCAGCAGUGGGGAAGAUUGCACAAUGGGCGGAAGCCUGAUGCAGCAACGCCGCGUGCGGGAUGACGGCCUUCGGGUUGUAAACCGCUUUCGCCUGUGACGAAGCGUGAGUGACGGUAAUGGGUAAAGAAGCACCGGCUAACUACGUG